CUGAUCAGCCAUGCCGCGUGAGUGACGAAGGUCUUCGGAUUGUAAGCUCUUUUGGCGGGGACGAUAAUGACGGUACCCGCAGAAUAAGCCCCGGCUAACUUCGUGCCAGCAGCCGCGGUAAUACG
RNAcentral lists this ribosomal RNA (125 nucleotides) under uncultured bacterium. Its description in RNAcentral is "partial 16S ribosomal RNA". It matches the Rfam family "Bacterial small subunit ribosomal RNA", at positions 383 to 527 of the family's 1533-position model. The record is from RNAcentral.